GUAAGUUGAAUGAGAAUUUGAAGGGUCUCCCCAUUGAAAUACAUGGGAAAUUUUUGUUGAAUAAAGUUGAAUAAAAUUAAAAAUAUAAAUGUUAAAAAUGAGAAAAAUAGAAGCAAUGUUGUCCAAAAUAAUAGGAAUCUAACGAUGUUUGAAUGGUUUUUCUAAGUUGAACGGUUUUGAAGGAGUAGGCUUUCAAAAAACGUACGGAAUACAGAAUAAAAUAUAAUAAUAAAGAUUAGAAGAACAAUACUGUGAAUGCUUUUCAAGCAUUCACACUAACUAGAAAGUGCAUUUUCUGAAGAAACUGCAGUGUGAAUGCUUGAAUCUGAAUGUAUGCACUGAAAUGAAUUAAUUGCUGAAUUUUGAGUUAAAAAUAUUGAAUGAGAUUAAAAAAAAAACAAAAAAAAAAAAUGAAUUUAACCUGAAAACAAAAGUGCUGAACUGCUAAAAGCUGAAGGUUACACAGAAGAAGGAGUUGGAAAAAAACUGAAAAUGUUUUAAAUGUAAAUUAGAAAACCCUAAGAAAUGAGAAAAGAACAUUUAGAGUCAGAAAACAUCUGAAUGAAUAUUAAAAGGUCAUAUUCUUUGAAUCACUGAAUGACUCAAAUGUGAUCCCUCCACUUUGAUCCACACAGUUUAAAAAGUUUAAAUGCCUGAGCUUUGAAAGAUACGGUGUUGGAAAGAGAACAAUAAUGGCGACAAUUUGAGGGUAAAAUGAUGGCUGUAACACUGUGGACACAGCAGCAAUUAAAAAAAAAACAAAAAAAACCAAACGAAUUUAACCUGAAAACAAAGGUGCUGAACUGCUAAAAGCUGAAGGUUACACAGAAGAAGGAGUUGGAAAAAAACUGAAAAUGUUUUAAAUGUAAAUUAGAAAACCCUAAGAAAUGAGAAAAGAACAUUUAGAGUCAGAAAACAUCUGAAUGAAUAUUAAAAGGUCAUAUUCUUUGAAUCACUGAAUGACUAAAAUGUGAUCCCUCCACUUUGAUCCACACAGUUUAAAAAGUUUAAAUGCCUGAGCUUUGAAAGAUACGGUGUUGGAAAGAGAACAAUAAUGGCGACAAUUUGAGGGUAAAAUGAUGGCUGUAACACUGUGGACACAGCAGCAGUUGAAAGAGAAGUGCUUAAGAUGAAUCUUGGUACAGUGGCAGGCAGAGCUCGUUAAGCAGGCAGGUGUGAGCCUGGUUGCUAUAGUGACCGCACCCAAUGGCUCCAUACACACGUACACAGACAUGCGCCUCACUUUUGCUGCUUAAAAUGAACAGAAAAGUCAGGCCGAAACAAAUCGCUCCCAAAUGAAAAGUAAAAGUCGUAUUGACAAAAUUCUUUCACCGUGAGCGACAGCAAUGUCUAGUCUACCUAAUUCUCAGUUUUCAUGCCUGUGGAGCUUAUUAUAUGGACGUGGUGACAGUGGAAAGACACCAUGCUCUUCUGAUUUUCAAACGAACCUUCUGAGCCAUUUUAACAUUACAGUCUAUGGAAGAGUUGGAGGGAGGAGGCUGUGCAUUGGUGACAUUUAUGAAAGAACCAUAACACCUAGGACAAUAGUAAACACAUUGGAUGAAAGAGGACAGCCAUGGCUACGUUUUGAGGGUAAAAUCAUACCUGUAGAGCAAACGCUGCGGACACAGCAGCAGUUUUAAAAAAGAUUUUAAGAUUAAUUUUUUUGCUCCUCUCACUCUAGCAGUUGAGCUGCCUCACUCUAGCCCCAACAUUCCGUCCCAUACACACCCAUUAUAAACUCUGAAACGGGUGAAAAAACAUCAUGAAACUUAAACUGGAACUGAAGAAAAAGUAUAAUAGAUAUUGAAAAGAUAAAUACAAGUUGAAUAAUUGAAUGUCUUGUCUUCGUUUUAAAGUUUGAAUGGUGGCUCUAUGUCAAUGUAUGUGGAAGUAGUAAGAGUUUAAAAAUGAGUAAGUUGAAUGAGAAUUUGAAGGGUCUCCCCAUUGAAAUACAUGGGAAAUUUUUGUUGAAUAAAGUUGAAUAAAAUUAAAAAUAUAAAUGUUAAAAAUGAGAAAAAUACAAGCAAUCAUGUCCAAAAGAAUAGGAAUCUAAUGGUGUUUGAAUAGUUUUUCUAAGUUGAAUGGUUUUGAAGGAGUAGGCUUUCAAAAAACGUACGGAAUAGAUAAUAAAAUAUAAGAA
Long non-coding RNA from Astatotilapia calliptera (eastern happy), 2143 nucleotides. Lineage: Eukaryota; Metazoa; Chordata; Actinopteri; Cichliformes; Cichlidae. The record is from Ensembl.